RNAcentral lists this ribosomal RNA (1255 nucleotides) under Greenidea ficicola. RNAcentral's name for it is "16S ribosomal RNA". The record is from RNAcentral. Lineage: Eukaryota; Metazoa; Arthropoda; Insecta; Hemiptera; Aphididae.
AUUUAUUUUAUUAAUAAUUUUUUAAUUAUUAAAAGAUUUAAAAAAAUAAUUUAUUUUGAAUUUUGUUUUAGUUUUUAAUUUAAAAAAAUUUUUAGAUUUAUAGUUUAUUAGUAUUGUGAAAGAAAUUAUUUAAAUAUUUUAAAGAAUUAUAUUAGUACCUUUUGUAUCAGGGUUAAUUAAAAUUUUUAAUUUAUUUUUAAAUUCUCAAAAUUUAUAGAGUUAAUUUUAUUUUUAAGUUAUUAUAUUAAAAAUAUUUAUAAAAUAAUUUUAGUUUAGAAAUUUAAUUCGUUAUAAUAUAUUUAGUUAUUUAAGAUUUAAAUUUAAUUUAAAAUUUUAAAAGUUUUGUUAAUUUUUUUUAAUUUAAUUUUAAAUUUAAAUUAUUUUAGGGAUAAGCUUAAAAUUUUUAUAAAAUAAUUUUUUUAUUAAGUUAAUAAAUUUUAGGAUUAGAAAUUUUUAUUUUAAGUUUGUAAAAAUUUAUUAUUUAUUUAAUUUUUGAUUUAUUAUAAAUUUAUUUAUUUUAUUUAUUAAAUUUUAUAAAUUAAUUUUUUAUUUAUAGUAAUAAUGAUUGAAUUAGUAUAAUUGUUAUUUAUAAAUUAUGAAUUCGGCAAUUUUUAUUUUCAUCUGUUUAACAAAAACAUUGUAUUAAGUUUAAUUUAAUAUAGGAUCUGCUCAAUGAUUAUAAAUUAGAUAGCUGCAGUAUUUUGACUGUGCAAAGGUAGCAUAAUAAUUAGUCUUUUAAUUGAGGACUAGAAUGAAAGAUUUGAUGAGAAAUAAACUUUAUUAUUUAUAUUAUUAAAAUUUUAUUUUUAAGUAAAAAAGCUUAAAUUUUUUUAAGGGACGAUAAGACCCUAUAAAACUUUAUAAAUUUAAUUUUUUUAAAUUUUUGGUUAAAUAAUUAAUUUAAAAUUUUAAAUUUAUUUUAUUGGGGUGAUAAAAAAAAUAAUUAACUUUUUUUAAAUAUUAACAUUAAUUAAUGAUUUUUUGAAUUAAAAUUUUUAAUUAUAAGAGAAAGUUACUUUAGGGAUAACAGCGUAAUUAAUUUUUUAAGUUCAAAUUUGAAAAUUAGAUUGCGACCUCGAUGUUGAAUUAAGAUUAAUCUUAGGUGCAAAAUUUUAAGUUUUAGGUCUGUUCGACCUUUAAAUUCUUACAUGAUUUGAGUUCAAACCGGUGUAAGCCAGGUUGGUUUCUAUCUUUAAAAUUUUAUUUUAUUUUAGUACGAAAGGAUUAAGUAAAAAAAUUAAAUUUUUUUAAAAAA